RNAcentral lists this ribosomal RNA (400 nucleotides) under uncultured bacterium. RNAcentral's name for it is "bacterial SSU rRNA". It matches the Rfam family "Bacterial small subunit ribosomal RNA", at positions 355 to 752 of the family's 1533-position model. The record is from RNAcentral.
UAAGGAAUAUUGGUCAAUGGAGGGAACUCUGAACCAGCCAUGCCGCGUGCAGGAUGACUGCCCUAUGGGUUGUAAACUGCUUUUGUCGAGGAAUAAACCUACUUACGUGUAAGUAGCUGAAUGUACUCGAAGAAUAAGGAUCGGCUAACUCCGUGCCAGCAGCCGCGGUAAUACGGAGGAUCCGAGCGUUAUCCGGAUUUAUUGGGUUUAAAGGGUGCGUAGGCGGCCCAUUAAGUCAGGAGUGAAAGACGGCAGCUCAACUGUCGCAGUGCUCUUGAUACUGAUGGGCUUGAAUGUCGCUGAAGAUGGCGGAAUGAGACAAGUAGCGGUGAAAUGCAUAGAUAUGUCUCAGAACUCCGAUUGCGAAGGCAGCUAUCUAAACGAUAAUUGACGCUGAUGC